AAUACAAGGUGUUUGGAAAUAAAUGGUUUACUCUUUGAUAAAGUGUUUUAUUUUAAAGACAAAUGUUGAUCUCAAAAGUACAAUAUUUCUUGACUGAAAUGUGGUGGAGAAAAAGUAUAAAGUACCAUUUGAAAUACAGCAAAGGACAAUAAAUGCAGAAUUCAGAUAUGCCUAAAAUCCCUACACAAUGCAUGUAUUAGUUCUGAAGGUGUCAAAUAUGACAACUCAUUAAAGAACAUGAAUCAAAGCCCUGUUAUCCAUCAUUAAAAUCUGAUGCCUAACAGUUUUGCCAUAUUACAGUUCUACUCGGAAUGAGCAAAAGUGCUGCAGGCAGCUCACUUAUUUGGUGACAUGACAUCCACAUCACAUGAGCAGCAGUUCCUCCAGUUACCAAGGACUCAGUAUCAAUAUACCUGGUUGUCAUAUUCUUGGAUGAAUCAUUACGUUCUGUAACAAGGGACAUGUGUCCCCUUGGAAAUAGGGUAACAUAAGGACACAGCAGGGUGUGGCAGAGGCGGAGUUUUGAAUGGGAAAUAUAAAUGUGGCCUCAAUGCUGCUGAAUAUAGCUUGGAAAUUUUCCAAUGGAUUUCCAUUUCUGAAAAAUGAAAUACUUUUUUAUCUUCCACAUGGCUUGCCUGCAUAUUCCAUCUGCAGAGUCAGGUGUGAGGCUGAGAACAGGAAUGCAAAGAGAUUCUGGGUGGGGCAGCCCCCCUCAUCUUGUUCCUCUGACUGAUGAAACUAAGGGAGAAAUGUCAACAAAGAAUGAGUUUUCUUUUGAUAGUGGAGCCACACAGGGGACAGAUAAGAGCUCCUCGCAGGGAGGUUUUGGAGGAUUCUCCAGGAGAAAGAAUGGCAAGAGGCGCCGUGUGAGGCCUUUUGGACGGUUUAACUCAGAUACGCAUGGCUGCAGUGGAAUCCAGGCUCGGAGUUGCAGCGGUUUUUCAGAGUGUUCAGGGUGCUUGGGUCUGUACACAUGUAACCUUACCCUGGGGGGGUGCCAGCUGAAGGGCCUGUCACAGCAGACAGAGAAAUUCCUCCAAACCCUGAGAGAUUUCUGAUCACCACACCGCAACAUGAGAAACAUUGUGAGACGUGCCUUUACAGUGUGGUAGUUGUAAUAAUUGAAACAGGAUCUCAUAGUCAGUUAACCUGCGUGUCUUACAUAAAAUGUAACUGUAUGUCAGAACAAAAGAUUGUAUGUCAUUUGAUAGGGAUUAUAAAAUCAAUUCAUGGAUUAAUUAUGAAUAUUUGACAGUCCAUUUUUGUUUUUACUUUUAGUUACGUUUAUCUGUAUAUUCAUUUCUAUUUAAAUCAUUUUCAUUAUCAGUCAUAAAAAGAAAAUUGUUGUUAUGAGUUUUGACCUCGUAAAGCAUCAUGAUUGUGUGCUUAUAAUAGAAAAUGAUUGGAAAAACUUUAGAAUUUAAACUCACCUGUAAUAGAAAAUCCUAUCUAAACUUACAUUGUAUCACAUUCUCAUUACUAACCAACACUAAAUACUUACAUGUGUAUAACAAAAUGGAUGUAUGACCUUAUGAAAUCUAAAAUGUCUUUGCUGCUUUCUCAUUGUUUUUGUUUGGGUUAAACACAAAUAAGGUCGAUUAAAUAAAUACAUGAUU
Long non-coding RNA from Eleginops maclovinus (Patagonian blennie), 1616 nucleotides. RefSeq lists it as uncharacterized. The record is from RefSeq and is a predicted model, not a curated record. NCBI's taxonomy places the organism in Eukaryota, Metazoa, Chordata, Actinopteri, Perciformes, Eleginopidae. The transcript has 3 exons.